UUACUGACUAGAGGUCUUCAUUUGGUUGGAUUUUGUUUUAUUUGAAAAGGAACGAAAAUUACCCGAUGAAAAUGAUGAAUUGCCGGCGAGUGAUUUGGUUUCAGCAGAUAACUCCGAGCAGGGUUCUUCUCAGCCCGUGGCCAAUGAUGAAUCACCAGACUCGGGUAGACUUCAGUCUGAAAGCCCUGUAAAUGACAAUGAUGCUGUAACUAAUGUUGACCAACCCAAAGUUGAGGAUGUUAAAGACACUCAAGUUGCGAGUGGUUCACCUCUCCCAGGUGUGAAGGUGAUGAUAAUGUAGAAUUAUUUUUUG
This is a long non-coding RNA of Olea europaea var. sylvestris, 313 nucleotides long. RefSeq lists it as uncharacterized. The record is from RefSeq and is a predicted model, not a curated record. NCBI's taxonomy places the organism in Eukaryota, Viridiplantae, Streptophyta, Magnoliopsida, Lamiales, Oleaceae. The transcript has 3 exons.